This 86-nucleotide transfer RNA is filed under the name Candidatus Acidianus copahuensis. It matches the Rfam family "tRNA". Rfam says of the family: Transfer RNA (tRNA) molecules are approximately 80 nucleotides in length. Their secondary structure includes four short double-helical elements and three loops (D, anti-codon, and T loops). Lineage: Archaea; Thermoproteati; Thermoproteota; Thermoprotei; Sulfolobales; Sulfolobaceae. The record is from Rfam by way of RNAcentral.
GCCGCCGUAGCUCAGCUGGCAGAGCGCCGGCCUUGUAAGGGUAUCUAGACAGCCGGCGGUCGCGGGUUCAAGUCCCGCCGGCGGCU